This 249-nucleotide ribosomal RNA is filed under the name uncultured bacterium. RNAcentral's name for it is "partial 16S ribosomal RNA". It matches the Rfam family "Bacterial small subunit ribosomal RNA", at positions 524 to 776 of the family's 1533-position model. The record is from RNAcentral.
UACGUAGGCAGCAAGCGUUGUUCGGAGUUACUGGGCGUAAAGGGUGUGUAGGCGGUUAUUUAAGUUUGGUGUGAAAUCUCCCGGCUCAACCGGGAGGGUGCGCCGAAUACUGAAUGACUUGGAGUGCGGGAGAGGAAGUGGAAUUCCUGGUGUAGCGGUGAAAUGCGUAGAUAUCAGGAGGAACACCGGUGGCGAAGGCGGUCUCUGGCCGUAACUGACGCUGAGGAGCGAAGCAUGGGAGCGAACAGG